UACGUAGGGUGCAAGCGUUGUCCGGAAUUAUUGGGCGUAAAGAGCUCGUAGGCGGUUUGUCGCGUCGAAUGUGAAAACCCGGGGCUCAACCCCGGGCCUGCACUCGAUACGGGCAGACUAGAGUUCGGUAGGGGAGUCUGGAAUUCCUGGUGUAGCGGUGAAAUGCGCAGAUAUCAGGAGGAACACCGGUGGCGAAGGCGGGACUCUGGGCCGAUACUGACGCUGAGACACGAAAGCAUGGGGAGCAAACAGG
This 253-nucleotide ribosomal RNA is filed under the name uncultured bacterium. RNAcentral's name for it is "partial 16S ribosomal RNA". It matches the Rfam family "Bacterial small subunit ribosomal RNA", at positions 524 to 776 of the family's 1533-position model. The record is from RNAcentral.